RNAcentral lists this microRNA (19 nucleotides) under Ciona intestinalis (vase tunicate). RNAcentral's name for it is "cin-miR-4145-3p". The record is from miRBase by way of RNAcentral. Lineage: Eukaryota; Metazoa; Chordata; Ascidiacea; Phlebobranchia; Cionidae.
AAUGGAAUUGUUGAUGUGG